Zeugodacus cucurbitae (melon fly) is the source of this 1458-nucleotide RNA transcript. It is a transcript of the gene named aldo-keto reductase family 1 member B1, with no coding region annotated. The transcript has 7 exons. The record is from RefSeq and is a predicted model, not a curated record. Lineage: Eukaryota; Metazoa; Arthropoda; Insecta; Diptera; Tephritidae.
UGAACUGCUUAAGUCGUUUAAAAAAGUAUGGAUCUAAUAAAUAUAAUAACUAUUGAAAGCUUUUGUCGAAGGUAUAAAAGCUUGGACAGCUGUUUGUUGGCAUUCAGUAAAUUAUCCACACCGGUAGUUUUCCAUUGUGAUUCAGGAUAUCCUUGUAAUUUGUUAAUAAUUCAUUAAAAACCAUAAUGUCGGUUCCUGAUGUGGUUCUAAAUAAUGGGAAAAAGAUUCCCAUCCUCGGUCUAGGCACAUGGGGUAGUCCUAAGGGAGAAGUUGUUCAAGCCGUUAAAGAUGCUAUUGAUGUUGGUUAUCGCCACAUUGAUUGUGCACAUGUGUACCAAAAUGAGGAUGAAGUCGGAGAGGGCAUAGAAGCUAAAAUAUCUGAAGGUGUAGUGAAACGUGAGGAAUUGUUUGUUACCAGCAAAUUAUGGAAUACUUUCCAUAGCCCAGAAUUAGUACGCGGAGCCUUAGAAACUACUUUGAAGAAUUUGCGAUUGGAUUACCUUGACUUGUACUUGAUUCAUUGGCCAAUGGGUUAUAAAGAGGGCGGACCAUUGUUCCCAAAUGAUGAUCUUGGCAAAGUGCAAUAUUCUGAUGUAGAUUAUGUAGACACAUGGAAAGCAAUGGAAAAACUUGUAGAGGCUGGUCUUGUUAAGUCCAUUGGUGUAUCUAAUUUCAACAAACGUCAAAUUGAACGUGUGCUUGAGGUUGCAACUAUUGCUCCCGUUACAAAUCAAAUUGAAUGUCAUCCUUAUUUGACUCAAGAAAAACUAAUUGGAUUUUGCAAAUCGAAGAACAUAGCUGUUACUGCAUAUAGUCCUUUGGGUUCCCCCAACAGGCCAUGGGCGAAACCAGAUGAUCCCGUUUUGUUAGAGGAUGCUAAAAUUGUUAGUAUCGCUAAUAAGUAUGGCAAAACUCCGGCACAAAUUCUUAUACGCUAUCAAGUGCAACGUGGAAACAUUGUUAUCCCAAAGUCUGUAACUAAAAGUCGUAUUGCAUCUAACUUCGAUGUGUUCAAUUUUGAAUUAAACGCAGAUGAUAUUGCCACAAUUAAUGGUUUUAAUUGUAACGGACGUUUCGUACCUCUUGAUAACGUUGCUGACCAUCAGCUUUACCCGUUUACAGAUGAAUUCUAAAUUUGUAAAGUUGCAAAGAUGUGAAAUUUGUUAAUUUAUUCAAAAUCUACGUCAGCUAUCGGUUCUCAUAUCUUCAUGACUAUGUUAUGUUAUUUUACUUUGCAAUUUUUUUUCAAUUUGAAAAACAAUCAAUAUGUUAGCACCAUCUAUCACAUCCGCACCAUCCGUUUGCUAACGAUGAGUUCUAGUUUGUUAAACUCAUUCCAGUUAAAUUGUGUUUAUGUAACUGUAAUUUUUCACCAAUGUAGAAAUACAUAUACAUAUACAUAUAUUAUUGUAUUUAGCGCUGCACUGAAUAAAUAAACACAUGAAUUUACAAACUUCA